CCUACGGGUGGCAGCAGUGGGGGAUAUUGGACAAUGGGGGAAACCCUGAUCCAGCGACGCCGCGUGAGUGAAGAAGUAUUUCGGUAUGUAAAGCUCUGUUAGCAGGGAAGAACGAAAUGACGAUAAAUGACACAGAAGCUCCGGCUAACUACGUGCCAGCAGCCGCGGUAAUACGUAGGGGGCAAGCGUUAUCCGGAAUUACUGGGCGUAAAGGGAGCGUAGACGGUGAUGAAAGUCUGGAGUGAAAGGCCGGGGCUCAACACCCGGACGGCUCUGGAAACUGGGUAACUUGAGUGCAGGAGAGGUGAGUGGAAUUCCAAGUGUAGCGGUGAAAUGCGUAGAUAUUAGGAGGAACACCAGUGGCGAAGGCGGCUUUCUGGACUGUAACUGACGUUGAGGCUCGAAAGCGUGGGGAGCAAACAGGAUUAGAUACCCUAGUAGUC
This 443-nucleotide ribosomal RNA is filed under the name uncultured bacterium. RNAcentral's name for it is "partial 16S ribosomal RNA". It matches the Rfam family "Bacterial small subunit ribosomal RNA", at positions 338 to 795 of the family's 1533-position model. The record is from RNAcentral.